UACGUAGGGGGCAAGCGUUGUUCGGAUCUAUUGGGCGUAAAGAGCGUGUAGGCGGCCAGACAGGUCCGUUGUGAAAACUCGAGGCUCAACCUCGAGACGCCGAUGGAAACCGUCUGGCUAGAGUCCGGAAGAGGAGAGUGGAAUUCCUGGUGUAGCGGUGAAAUGCGCAGAUAUCAGGAAGAACACCCGUGGCUAAGGCGGCUCUCUAGUACGGUACUGACGCUGAGACGCGAAAGCGUGGGGAGCGAACAGG
Molecule: ribosomal RNA, 253 nt
Filed under: uncultured bacterium
Lineage: Bacteria
Description: partial 16S ribosomal RNA
Rfam family: Bacterial small subunit ribosomal RNA
Source: RNAcentral